RNAcentral lists this long non-coding RNA (917 nucleotides) under Bemisia tabaci. RNAcentral's name for it is "lncRNA ENSASIAIIG005463". The record is from RNAcentral. Lineage: Eukaryota; Metazoa; Arthropoda; Insecta; Hemiptera; Aleyrodidae.
AAUCGUAGCGAGAAGCAGGCGAUAAAGGUCAGAACGAAAUCUGAUUAAUGGUGCGCCAGCAAUAAGGGUGGAGAUCGAAUGUGCGUACGUUGGCGCGAAAGAAAGAAGAGAGAGGGCAUCGUUGGAGAGAGACGGAACGUUACAAAACAUCUCGGCGACCUCCAAGUUGACUAUAUAUACUAGCCCAACGCCGCAGACACCACCAAAGGUAUCUGUACAUUUUUAACUUCACCACCAACACUCCAACAAACACCAAAAUGUACAAGAUCGCUCUUGCCCUCUUCGCCCUCGUCGCCGCCGCCUCAGCUGGCUACGUAGCCCCCUACAGCUACCCAGCCUACCCAGCGGCCCCAGCUUACGGGUAUGCAGCACCCUACAGCUACGCCCACGCCCCCGUGGCCGCCCCAGUCGUCUACAAGGCCCCCGUCGUCGCCCACGCUCCCGUUGUAGCCCACGCCCCAGUCGCUGUUGCCCACGCUCCAGUCGCCACCUCAUACGCCAACACCUACAAGGUCUCAGUUAAGGCCCCAGUCGCCUACGCUGCCCCCGCCUACGGCUACGCCGCCCCCGCCUACCACGCCCCCGCCUACGCCCCAGUAGUCAAGACCUACGCCGCCCCCGCCUACGCCCCAUACGCCGCCGCCCCCGUGUACGCUCACGGAUACUCCAGCUACUACCACUAAGCUAGUCGCCUGAGAGCCACCAACACUGCCAUCAACCACUCCCCUCAACUUCUUUUCCUUGAAAAUCUCACUUUUUAAAUUAAUUUAAUUUAUUCUCAGCCAUUAGUGUAAAUAAUUUGCUCAAGUUUCACAAUGAAAACCAAGUCAUGUAAAGUAUCAUGUUUUAUUAACAUGUGAAGAAUAAAACAACCUGCCAUCGAAUACGUUUUGAUAAUUAUUAUUCCGAUGUCCUCU